AAUGGAGUGCCUGAUAAAAGGGUUGCCUUGAUAGGGCAAAUAAUGUGCCCCCCACCUCCGUUA
RNAcentral lists this transfer RNA (63 nucleotides) under Pseudorhaetus sinicus. Its description in RNAcentral is "tRNA-Ile". Lineage: Eukaryota; Metazoa; Arthropoda; Insecta; Coleoptera; Lucanidae. The record is from RNAcentral.